This 388-nucleotide ribosomal RNA is filed under the name Shigella flexneri. RNAcentral describes it as "partial 23S ribosomal RNA". It matches the Rfam family "Bacterial large subunit ribosomal RNA", at positions 2420 to 2807 of the family's 2925-position model. Lineage: Bacteria; Pseudomonadati; Pseudomonadota; Gammaproteobacteria; Enterobacterales; Enterobacteriaceae. The record is from RNAcentral.
CCGGUGGUUCUGAAUGGAAGGGCCAUCGCUCAACGGAUAAAAGGUACUCCGGGGAUAACAGGCUGAUACCGCCCAAGAGUUCAUAUCGACGGCGGUGUUUGGCACCUCGAUGUCGGCUCAUCACAUCCUGGGGCUGAAGUAGGUCCCAAGGGUAUGGCUGUUCGCCAUUUAAAGUGGUACGCGAGCUGGGUUUAGAACGUCGUGAGACAGUUCGGUCCCUAUCUGCCGUGGGCGCUGGAGAACUGAGGGGGGCUGCUCCUAGUACGAGAGGACCGGAGUGGACGCAUCACUGGUGUUCGGGUUGUCAUGCCAAUGGCACUGCCCGGUAGCUAAAUGCGGAAGAGAUAAGUGCUGAAAGCAUCUAAGCACGAAACUUGCCCCGAGAUGA